RNAcentral lists this ribosomal RNA (446 nucleotides) under uncultured bacterium. RNAcentral describes it as "partial 16S ribosomal RNA". It matches the Rfam family "Bacterial small subunit ribosomal RNA", at positions 329 to 792 of the family's 1533-position model. The record is from RNAcentral.
UGCCAGACUCCUACGGGAGGCAGCAGUGGGGGAUAUUGCACAAUGGGGGAAACCCUGAUGCAGCGACGCCGCGUGAGUGAAGAAGUAAUUCGUUACGUAAAGCUCUAUCAGCAGGGAAGAAAAUGACGGUACCUGACUAAGAAGCCCCGGCUAACUACGUGCCAGCAGCCGCGGUAAUACGUAGGGGGCAAGCGUUAUCCGGAAUUACUGGGUGUAAAGGGAGCGCAGACGGCAGUGCAAGUCUGGAGUGAAAGCCCGGGGCUUAACUACGGGUGUGCUCUGGAAACGGUGGAGCUAGAGUGCAGGAGAGGCAGGCGGAAUUCCUAGUGUAGCGGUGAAAUGCGUGGAUAUUAGGAGGAACACCGGUGGCGAAGGCGGCCUGCUGGACUGUAACUGACGUUGAGGCUCGAAAGCGUGGGGAUCAAACAGGAUUAGAUACCCCUGUA